GUAAGGGUUACAGAGUUAAGGAUAUAAGGACUGAAAAUCCUUGUGUCCUUGGUUCGAUUCCGAGUCUGGGCACCA
This 75-nucleotide transfer RNA is filed under the name Peptostreptococcaceae bacterium. Its description in RNAcentral is "tRNA-OTHER". The record is from RNAcentral. Lineage: Bacteria; Bacillati; Bacillota; Clostridia; Peptostreptococcales; Peptostreptococcaceae.